AUGACGAACUCCAACGAGUGUUCUGAGAUGAAGAUGUGUAGCAGAUUGAUGCGUAGAAAGGUGUUGAAGAUGCGCCGCCUCCUUGUGUUGCAGAGAAAGAUUGAUGCUGUUGUGAUUGAAGAAUAUUGGAUAUCCGAGCAAGUCUUACACUGGCUCUUAUUUAUGGACAUCUUUAAUAUUGGACAUGUUAUGUACAAGUAUGAAACACAUUUUUAG
Non-coding RNA from Vicia faba (fava bean), 216 nucleotides. Lineage: Eukaryota; Viridiplantae; Streptophyta; Magnoliopsida; Fabales; Fabaceae. The record is from the annotation of a GenBank genome assembly.